RNAcentral lists this long non-coding RNA (1077 nucleotides) under Coturnix japonica (Japanese quail). Its description in RNAcentral is "lncRNA (ENSCJPG00005018432.1)". Lineage: Eukaryota; Metazoa; Chordata; Aves; Galliformes; Phasianidae. The record is from RNAcentral.
CGGGGCCGUCCGGGCUGGGCGCCGCCGCUCCCCCGUGGGCCGGGGCGGCGCCGGGCGUCCUAAGGGCGGGGGGAAGCUGUCGAGAGAUGGCUGGGCAGAGUGCGGUGUGUGGGCUGCUCCUAAGGAGUGUGGAUUGGCAGCAUUUAUGUACAGGUCUCAGCACAGUUUGCCCAGGGAGAUAACCUGCAUAAUAGCAGAUCAGCAUUCUCCUAGCUAUGGUUGGAUGGCAGCCUGUGGCCUCACUGCAGAUGAGGGUCAGUAUAACAUGUCCUGAUUUAUCAUUUAUUAUUAUUAUUAUUUUCCUGUUAUAAACUCUUCUGUACUGUAGUUUGACUCCACAGUUUUGCUUGAAAAUAACAGCUGCUUGUGCAUCAGCAUUGCUGGAAAUCUGCUCUCCAAUGGCAGGCAGUGUUAUUGAUUUAGGGUUUGGUGUUUAAAGUUCUGCCCGUGCUGGCAGAGCUGUUUGCACAAGCACUGCAGGGCUGGGUUCCCACUGUGUACCAGGCAGCGUUUUCCAUCCUCCCACUAGAAGUGCUUCUUGUGGUGGUUGUGUGGGGACUGCAGGUUGGUGUGAGCCAGAUGCAAGCAUUAUAGAACAGUCUCUUUAAAUAUGCCAUGAAUGAGAGAGAUUUCCAUCACCUUUAGUACAGGAUGCUGGGACACUGACUGUGACACACUCACUGUUUGCUCACUCCUUGAGUUCCAGCAGUAGGAAUGUCAGCUCACGCGUGCCUCCUGCACCAAAAAGCAGCUCAGUGCACUGCUGCUAUGUCAAACUUCUCAUGCUGUGUGUUUUGUUAAAUCCUUUUCCUUCAGUAUUAGCGUGCAGUGGCAUUAUAACAGAACUAAUCAAUUAUGGGACUUUGCUUGCUGACUUCUGUUGAGAGAUGCAGAACGAAGAUGCAAUGUUUAUUUAAAUAUCACCAGCAAUUUCAAGUGGAUUAAAGGAUGUAGGUGUGUGGGGGAGCUAUGUUGUUUACAAAUGGUUGUCUGCCUCAAGCCCUGAGAAGGCAAACUUUGGUGUGGCCAAAUUAAUUAGUAAAAUAAAUAUGUAAGUGAAAAUCUGAGGAAUAAACA